UAGAGUUUGAUCAUGGCUCAGAGUGACCCUUUGCGGCGUGCCUAACACAUGCAAGUCGAACGGAGCGAAGCCCCUUGCUGCCUAGCUUAGUGGCGCACGGGUGAGUAACACGUAGCUAACUUGCCCUAUAGUGGGGGACAACAGUUGGAAACGACUGCUAAUACCCUAUACUCCGCCUCUACACAAGUAGAGUCGGGAAAGUUUUUCGCUAUAGGAUAGGGCUGCGGUCUAUCAGCUAGUUGGUGGGGUAACGGCCUACCAAGGCUAUGACGGAUAGCUGGUCUGAGAGGAUGAUCAGCCACACUGGAACUGAGACACGGUCCAGACUCCUACGGGAGGCAGCAGUGGGGAAUUUUACACAAUGGGCGAAAGCCUGAUGUAGCAACGCCGCGUGGAGGAUGACGGAUCUAGGUCUGUAAACUCCUUUUAUAAGGGAAGAAAUUUGACGGUACCUUAUGAAUAAGCACCGGCUAACUCCGUGCCAGCAGCCGCGGUAAUA
Molecule: ribosomal RNA, 499 nt
Filed under: uncultured bacterium
Lineage: Bacteria
Description: bacterial SSU rRNA
Rfam family: Bacterial small subunit ribosomal RNA
Source: RNAcentral